This 227-nucleotide ribosomal RNA is filed under the name Chelidonichthys lucerna (tub gurnard). RNAcentral describes it as "partial 16S ribosomal RNA". The record is from RNAcentral. Lineage: Eukaryota; Metazoa; Chordata; Actinopteri; Perciformes; Triglidae.
UAUGGAGCUUUAGACACUAAAGCAGCUCAUGUCAAAAACCCUGCAAUAAAAGACCGAACCAAAUGAGCCCUGCCCUAAUGUCUUUGGUUGGGGCGACCGCGGGGAAAUAAAUAACCCCCAUGUGGAAUGGGAUAUACCUCUCCUAAAACUAAGAGCCACAGCUCUAAGCAACAGAACUUCUGACCUAUUAGAUCCGGCAAUGCCGAUCAACGAACCGAGUUACCCUA